RNAcentral lists this unclassified non-coding RNA (400 nucleotides) under uncultured fungus. RNAcentral's name for it is "sequence contains ITS1". Lineage: Eukaryota; Fungi. The record is from RNAcentral.
GGACUACUGGGGUAUCUAAUCCUGUUCGCUACCCACGCUUUCGUUCCUCAGCGUCAGUUACUGCCCAGAGACCCGCCUUCGCCACCGGUGUUCCUCCUGAUAUCUGCGCAUUUCACCGCUACACCAGGAAUUCCAGUCUCCCCUGCAGUACUCAAGUCUGCCCGUAUCGCCUGCAAGCCAGCAGUUGAGCUGCUGGUUUUCACAAACGACGCGACAAACCGCCUACGAACUCUUUACGCCCAGUAAUUCCGGACAACGCUUGCACCCUACGUAUUACCGCGGCUGCUGGCACGUAGUUAGCCGGUGCUUCUUCUGCAGGUACCGUCACUUGCGCUUCGUCCCUGCUGAAAGAGGUUUACAACCCGAAGGCCGUCAUCCCUCACGCGGCGUCGCUGCAUCA